GUGAGCCCAAGCAUUCAAGUCCAGCCGGUCCAUGCGAUCACGGGAGACCCCAGCCCAUUCCAAGCUUCACGCGAUGAAGCCAUCAACAGCCCGCGUUCUUCACGCGGUGAACGUCCCAGCAGCCGGUUUCCAGCUCCUUCCGUCGGCUCCACCCUCUUCCUGAAACCCAGCAACCUCCCACGCUCGUCCGACUGCAAGCGAGAUCCAAGCAUCGCGCCUAGCCAUCCCGCCGUCCACGACACCUCCAAGCCAUCCUCCACGGCAGAUCAGCCAUUCUCCCAGUGAUCCCGCAGGCUUUCAUUUCUUCCGUUUCUCGCCAUCAAGGAACCGCACCAGAUCAGCAUCUCAGCCUUCCGUUGUCCAUGAUGCAUCUGGCUCCACCCUCUUCCGGAUUCCCAGCAUCAACCCGUCCGCAGCUCCUCCCAGCGAUCCUGCAACAUCCCAGCUCUUCCGUGACCCAAGCACCGCGUCCAUGAUCGGCUCCUCCUAGGGAUCCCAUGGCGUCCUCUCGUCGAUCCCGCGGCAUCAGCCUCCUUCCCGUGAUCCCAGCGCCUCACAGCCGCUCCAGCCGACCGCAUUACCUCCCGGCUUCUUCCGCCCGUGAUGCAUCCAUGAUCCAAUUAUCUCCGCAUCCAAGCAAUCCCACGGAUCAAGCUCCUGCGUCCGCUCCGUGUCCCGGCAAAUCCCCCAAGACCCGCGACUGUUACCCCUCCAUCAAGGGAUCCAUCGCUGGCCAAACAAGGAUGGGCGACCUAUAAGAGGAGGGUGGAGGUGUUCGGCUGGAGAAGUGUUUGGUCGAGCCAAAGAACAGAGGAAGCUCUGUUUUGGGGAAGAAAAGAAAAAAAAAGAAAAGAAAAAGAGAGAAUAUUUUAUUUGUUUUGGUUUGAGUUUUUUUUUUGUAAAGCAAUGUUUUUUUUUAGUUUGAAUUUUGAUUGAAAGUCUUAUGUUGAGAGGUUUUGUUUUAAGUUUUAAUUUUAGAGAGUUUUAUUUUGGUGGAGAGUUUUACUUUUAAGAAUUUUUAGUUAUGCUGUAAUUUUAAUUUUUUUAUGCAAUACAUUAAAUCUCCAUUUAUGCAAUUUAUGUUCGCUUCAAUCUUCUUAGUUUCAUCCAUUUUAAUUUAUGCCAAAUCUCUUCUUUGAUUAAUUAUAUAUAUAAAUGCUUUUCGAAUCUAAGUACUUGUCUUUUAGUUAAUUUCAAUUAGAAAACAUUCUCUGGUAGGCGAGAGAAUAAUUCAACAUCCCCGACGUAAUGUUUUUCUUUUAUCAUUCAAAAAUUGGUUUCGAAUCCGAGUGAAUGUUUUAAUUUUUAUGCAACUCCAAUCGCUUCUCUGUGGAUCGACCUCUUACAAUCACUAUUCUUCGAGUAAAACAGGUAAGAGUAAAAUUAAUUUAAACUUUGUUUGUCGGUUCUAACAACGAUCUAUUUAGCAUAUUUUUAGGUAAACAGGAAUCGGACAACACUGAACAAAGCCUCACCGGUGGGGUUCCGGUGAGGACCCUCCGAUGAUGAAGUUAGAGUAGAUUUUAGGUGGUCUAGCCAAACAAUCCUUAGGCGUUACCUGAUGGGACUAUUUAUAGUUUCCGUAGAGGUGCCCUGAUGGCGUGCAACUAGGGCUUACUUGAGGCAUACGAUGUAGGUCAUUCUUGUGAACGACAUGACGUUGACAGAGGUGGCAGGGUAUGGUCCUUGAUUGACAUGUUGUAGAGUGGCCAGCAAGCAAAGCAUGGCGCGAUGAGGUUGUAAUGUAUGGCUAUGUAUGUGGGCAUAGGGGGCGCGUAGGUGCGCAUGCGGAUGUGACCGUGGGCGAGGUUGGGCUCGCUUGGAGAACGCAGCCUUUACUUAGUGAAGUUAGCUUGAUGAGCACUAACGUCGGGCCGACUAAGAGGGUUGCGACAUAUAUUUGGUGAGGUUGGCUCGGCGGACUUUGAGGUCGACCCAACCUCCUCGGCGCUAAAGUUAGCUCAGUAGGGGGGCCCGAUCGAGCCAGGGCAUCAUUGUAGAUAGUUACGGUUGACGGAGCCUAUUCGGCUCUUGAUCGAUCUUGCAGGACGCCCGAGCUCGGCUCGAGGGGCAUCAUCG
RNAcentral lists this long non-coding RNA (2079 nucleotides) under Phoenix dactylifera (date palm). Its description in RNAcentral is "long non-coding RNA (PDAC_LNC002479)". Lineage: Eukaryota; Viridiplantae; Streptophyta; Magnoliopsida; Arecales; Arecaceae. The record is from RNAcentral.